Long non-coding RNA from Sapajus apella (tufted capuchin), 1879 nucleotides. RefSeq lists it as uncharacterized. The transcript is spliced from 2 exons. The record is from RefSeq and is a predicted model, not a curated record. NCBI's taxonomy places the organism in Eukaryota, Metazoa, Chordata, Mammalia, Primates, Cebidae.
GGGGAAGGGAGGGAGGGGAGGGGAGGAGAAGGGAGGAGAAGGGAGGAGCAGAACAGAAUAACAUGGAAAGAACAAACCAGAGCUGAACCAAAAAUCAAGGGCAGGAUGUUGUAGCGUCUCGGAUGGGGUUCAAAUUCUGUCUCCUCCUGAGAAGUCUCCUGAGCCUGCUAUGAGGUCUCAGCUUGCACCCUAUUGCCUCUGGCACCAAUGGAGCACCUACCCCAUGCAGGGUCCUUCAGAAACAAAGAGUGAGAUAGCUUCCAGUCUCAGGUGGGAAAUAUGUAGACUUGCAAAAAAGGGGCAGAGAAGGACAGGAACAACAAAAAGGCAGACUGCCACACGCAACACCUCAUUUGGAUGUGUCUGGAGUCUUGGAAGCUUGACUACAUUCGCCUACAAAUGGACUUUGAGAGCUUGUUUGGAGGUUCUAGCAGGGGAGCGCAGCUACUUGUAUACCCUUGACCAAGAACAGUCCUCUACUAGGGAAGGCUGUCCUCUUCCAAAUGGACCUCGAGAGCUUGUUUGGAGGUUCUAGCAGGGGAGCGCAGCUACUUGUAUACCCUUGACCAAAGAACAGUCCUCCUAUCUUGAGGAAGGCUGUCCUCUUCUGAAACUGCCUUUGCAAAUGUUAUAGCAGUGAGAAAAUUAUGACAGUGAAAGAAAUCUGACCUAACCGAUUCCAUCUUGCUUCUAACCUGCCAGCUGCCUUUGUUCAUUCUUGGGCAUAGGGAGCACUCAAUUUGGGAGAAAUUUAGUUUAUAGUUUAACUUUGAAACAAAGAUGAUAACAGCCCCUCCCUGACACAAACCCACUAGAUUGGCCACAAGAUUAGAAAUUACGGCUCAGAAGUCGUGCAGCCAGAGGCUUUGAGACCACUAACCUCUCCAAUUGUUCCUAUAGAUAAUAUUAUUAUUGUAAAACCUAAGAUUGGUGUUUGAGGUAUUUUUCAGACCCUGCAUUCUGAUGGAUCAGCUGGCACCACCCAGACCAGUAAACUGGCUCAUCUGGUCUUCUGGCCCCCACCCAGGAACCAACUCAGUGCAAGAGGACAGCUUCAACUCCCUGUGAUUUCAUCCCCAACCCAACCAAUCAGCAUUCCGUCUUCCCUAGCCCCCUGCCCACCAAACUACCUUUCAAAAACCCUAGCUUCCAAAUUUUCAGGGAGGCUGACUUGAGUAAUAAAACCCCUGUCUCCUGUUUAGCUGGCUCUAUUUGUAUCAAACUCUUUCUCUAUUACAAUUCCUGUGUCUUGAUAAACUUGUUCUAUCUGGGCAGUGGGCAAGAAGAACGCAUUGGGUGGUUAAACCAAGUGUACAGCUUCAGGAGGGACGCACAUGGAACAGUAAAGGGAGAAGGGUACACAGGUCUAGCCAGCUAGGUCAGCCAAAUUGAGACAGACUAGGAGUGGGGCUUGGUGGCAGCUCACCUGCACUAGAGCUUUCUUUCACGCAUUCCCACUGAUCACAAACCCACACCACUACCUCACUGAUACCAUGUUUAAGCAUGCUUUUUAGUUAACAAAUUCCAGGAACUGGCCUUAGGAAAUCCAAGUAUCAAGCCAAGGUUGUGGAGUAUUCCGCCUCAGGAAGAAAUGCUGAACAACUGAUUUACAGACUUGUUGCCCCAGCCAGACUACCAGGUAGUCCAUUACUUAAGAUAGCCAUUAUGACCAGAUAAUGCUAACCUGCAUACCCUACCCUUCACAUGCUUUGUCCAGCCCAGCCUGCAUACCCUACCCCUGAUGUCAAUUCUCAUGCUUUGCCUAAUAAAAAAAAAAAAAGCCCUACCAGCUCUGCACAGAGUCAGUUAGAGAAUUCUCCUUGUGCUGCCUCCCUUAUGUCCAGGCAAAAGCUCCAAUGAAGUCUUGUCUCAGAAAACU